GGUCAUGGGUGGUGGUUGGUGAGGAUGUUACUGUUCUAAAUGACUUUUAAAUAGAUUAACAUCUGAAUGUCUAUUCACUCUUUAGAGUAUGGCUGUUCCGCUUCUUUGUAUAACAGCUGGCUCUUUCACGCAAUACACAAUAUUAUGUAAUGUAUACACACACACACAUUCAUACAGGCUAGUGUCUCUUGGAAGAAUACUAGUCAAGACACCUCCAUAACACACAAAGUAAGACUACCUCGGAUGGAAACACAGUCUCCACAGUUUUCAAAGAAGGGGGAAAGAGGCAGUCUCACCAAGGGAGGAGGGGAGAGAGAGAGAGUGAGAGUGAGAGAGAGAGACAGAGCGAGAGAGAGAAAAUGAGAGCGAGAGAGAGAACGAGAGAACGAGAGAGAGAGAGACAGGGAGCGAGAGAGAGACAGAGAGACAGAGCUCAUGAAGCAGCAGAGACUUUCCAGAGGAGGAGUGAAGGAAGAAGAAAAUGACCCACAGCAGAAGGAGCUGAUGAACUAGCCUAUAUUAAUACAACAGGCAGAGAGCACAAAAACACAGCAGGAGUCCUUUGUAAGUGGAGAUAAACAGCGUUGAUAUUGCACAACCGCUGCCUUUUCCACUGGCACCAAGAGAUGACAACAGCUACUACUAACUGGGAGAGAAGCAAGAAUAAAAGGAGAGGGUAACAGUGGAGAGAGAGACGGUGGAAAGCAAACCAAUGACAGCUGGAGAAAGCUCAAAUCAAGCCCGAUUUGUUUCCUUUCUGAAACCCAGAACAGACUGUACAGAGGACAGCAGUGCAGCGGAUGGGGUUUUGGUCAUCUCUUGGCUUCGAUGCUAAUCGCUACUUGAGGACUUAUCUCUGCUAACCCUAAUCCUGAAAAGACCGCUGGGUCGAGGAGGCGAGGUCACCACCUCUGUCUCACUGCUGGCUCCAACUCACCCAGCAACACACAGGGAACUCGCUCUCCACACACUCACUCAGCAAAGUGGUCACAUCACACAACCUGCACCCAGAUACUACAGAGUUGCACCCCCCCUCAGUGUGAGGGACAUGAUGGAUGCCAGGGAGGAGAUGCUGACCCUGCUACAGAAGCUCUGGGCCAAACUGCAGGGUCUCCCCACCGCCAGCCCUCUGGAGAUGGGGGCCUUCGCUGUCCUCGUCCUCUUUAUCGUGGUCUUCCUGCUCAUGCUGCUGAUGACCUGUUUGACAUGCUGCUGCUGUCACAGAACCAGAACCAAGGGCCAACAUAGUCAGCUAACCUGAGACAAUCCCCACUUCCCCCAAUAAUGAGGAGAGACAUUAUAAACAGGCACUCUACUGACCUCUAAACCCCAGAAGAAUGAGGACCCAUGCAGAGAGGUGUGAACUGAAAACCCUCUGUCACCACUAUAUCACCAGGAGAGACAUUCUGGAGAAGCACUCUAUGGGCCUAUUAACCCCAGAGGAAUGAGGAGGACCCAUGGGGAGGGUGUGGAGCCCGUCUAUAAAGGAACCCGGCUCUUGAACAACACACCUCCAUACAAAACACACACAGAGCCUCCCUGAGAAGCAGCAAAACAGGCCCGGCUUCCAGGAGUAUCAACAUUCCAUGGGGCAUCCCUGGGCUCUGCUGGCUAACAAAGCAGUCUUUGACGUGAGAGAUGGACAAGACUAGACCUCUAGGACAGCUUCAACUGAUCCACACAACACAAGGACACAAGGAACACAGGAGCAUGGAAUCACACACACACACAAAGGCAUCAAGUAAUACAAACAACUGGACAUGUAGCUAAAAGAUCCCAAUAGAAGCACAGGAGAUUGCUUGGGAAGAUGAAUGUCUGUCAGUUCUAGGAUGUAUGGGUGUCAACUCAACCUCUGCCACUGGCUCAGAGACUCUAAGAAAGAGCCCUCUGCAGUUUCCAUCAGCAACUCACUUAAAUGGAGGCAUCUUGCCAAACACCGUGUGAGAGUGUUGCCAUAUGUCUUCUAUGUAAAGGACUUCCUUUGCUUUAUUGCCUUGUUCAAGUGCUAGAUGAAACUAGGAAACUCAGAAAUGUCCGACUUGCUAACUGGUUGAACGCGGCACGUGUAUAACUACAACCAGUUAGCAAGGCGAAAAAGUCUGUUUCCUAGUUUCGACUAGCACGUGAACACAGCAUUAGUUCAGCAAAAACAAGCCAUUAUCUCAUUCCUCAGGCGAUUCAGAGGACCAUGCCUGCCCUCUGCUGUACAAACAUGGAACUGAGGCAGUGAGGAAGCCUUGGAAUAUGCUUCACAGUU
Oncorhynchus keta (chum salmon) is the source of this 2257-nucleotide long non-coding RNA. RefSeq lists it as uncharacterized. Lineage: Eukaryota; Metazoa; Chordata; Actinopteri; Salmoniformes; Salmonidae. The record is from RefSeq and is a predicted model, not a curated record. The transcript has 3 exons.